GCUGGUGUAGCUCAGUCGGCAGAGCGUAUCCUUGGUAAGGAUAAGGUCACCGGUUCAAUUCCUCUCGCCAGCUCCA
Molecule: transfer RNA, 76 nt
Filed under: Sporomusaceae bacterium FL31
Lineage: Bacteria; Bacillati; Bacillota; Negativicutes; Selenomonadales; Sporomusaceae
Description: tRNA-Thr
Rfam family: tRNA
About the family: Transfer RNA (tRNA) molecules are approximately 80 nucleotides in length. Their secondary structure includes four short double-helical elements and three loops (D, anti-codon, and T loops).
Source: RNAcentral